AUAAAUCUUUAAAAAAAAAAAAAAAAAAAAAAACAAACGACCCCUUCAAAAAGAAGUGGGCUAUGGGAAUAGAAGUUUGGUCCAAUGCAGACAUAAUAUAAGCUUUUAACUGCUGAGCCAGCUCUCCAGCUUAAAUUUGCUUAUUCUCAAGCACUACCAAUCAGAUAAAUCAUCAAAGAGUGAGAACUCUUGAUAUAAAUAUAAGGCAGUUAAGGCUAGAAACAGGCUUAUGAUGGGCUCCUGUUCAUUCAUGGAUCUAUGGAGGGACAGGAAUGGACAGAUAAACCUGCUGGGCUUCCAGAGGAUUAUAUUUGGUUUCUAUAGUUCCCUUUGUGUAAGCUAAAUAAAACUCUUUUGAGACAGUGUGUAUCCCCUAGCUAUUCUGUUUCCUAAAUGCUAAUUUUAAAGACGGGCACCAACAUUUCUGUUCCCCACUCCCAAUGGAAUUCUUGAAUGUGCUUUGAAUAAUAGAAUCUAUCUUGGUGUUUUGUUUUGUUUUUUUAAGCAGAUUAACAAAAAAGCUUGAAGAAAGGAGAGAAGAGAAGAGGAAGGAAGAGGCCCAGAGAGAGAUUAAGAAGGAAAUUGAAAGGAGAAAAACUGGAAAGGAAAUGUUGGAUUAUAAAAGAAAACAAGAAGAAGAAUUAACAAAAAGAAUGUUA
This 659-nucleotide long non-coding RNA is filed under the name Rattus norvegicus (Norway rat). Its description in RNAcentral is "long non-coding RNA NONRATT008179". The record is from RNAcentral. Lineage: Eukaryota; Metazoa; Chordata; Mammalia; Rodentia; Muridae.